UGGGGAAUCUUAGACAAUGGGCGCAAGCCUGAUCUAGCCAUGCCGCGUGAGUGAUGAAGGCCUUAGGGUUGUAAAGCUCUUUCAGCUGGGAAGAUAAUGACGGUACCAGCAGAAGAAGCCCCGGCUAACUCCGUGCCAGCAGCCGCGGUAAUACGGAGGGGGCUAGCGUUGUUCGGAAUUACUGGGCGUAAAGCGCACGUAGGCGGACCAAAAAGUCAGAGGUGAAAUCCCAGGGCUCAACCUUGGAACUGCCUUUGAAACUCUUGGUCUUGAGUUCGAGAGAGGUGAGUGGAAUUCCGAGUGUAGAGGUGAAAUUCGUAGAUAUUCGGAGGAACACCAGUGGCGAAGGCGGCUCACUGGCUCGAGACUGACGCUGAGGUGCGAAAGCGUGGGGAGCAAACAGG
Molecule: ribosomal RNA, 404 nt
Filed under: uncultured bacterium
Lineage: Bacteria
Description: bacterial SSU rRNA
Rfam family: Bacterial small subunit ribosomal RNA
Source: RNAcentral